GAUGAACGCUAGCGGCAGGCCUAACACAUGCAAGUCGAGGGGUAACUAGAGUGAUAGCAAUAUUACUUUGGCUAGACCGGCGCACGGGUGCGUAACACGUAUGCAACCUACCUUAUACUGGGGAAUAACUUCGAGAAAUCGGCGCUAAUACCCCAUAACAUUGCGAAGAGGCAUCUCUUUGCAAUUAAAGCUCCGGCGGUAUAAGAUGGGCAUGCGUCCACUUAGCUAGUUGGUGAGGUAACGGCUCACCAAGGCUACGAUUGGUAGGGGUUCGGAGAGGAGGAUCCCCCCCACUGGUACUGAGACACGGACCAGACUCCUACGGGAGGCAGCAGUGAGGAAGAUUGCGCAAUGGACGAAAGUCUGACGCAGCCAGGCCGCGUGCAGGAUGGCGGCCCUAUGGGUUGUAAACUGCUUUUGUACGGGAAUAAACCCUUCUACGUGUAGGAGGCUGAAGGUACCGUAAGAAUAAGCACCGGCUAACUCCGUGCCAGCAGCCGCCGUAA
RNAcentral lists this ribosomal RNA (506 nucleotides) under uncultured bacterium. RNAcentral's name for it is "partial 16S ribosomal RNA". It matches the Rfam family "Bacterial small subunit ribosomal RNA", at positions 28 to 523 of the family's 1533-position model. The record is from RNAcentral.